UCUGACACAGGUGCUGCACGGCUGUCGUCAGCUCGUGUCGUGAGAUGUUGGGUUAAGUCCCGUAACGAGCGCAACCCUUGUCCUUAGUUACCAGCACGUUAUGGUGGGCACUCUAAGGAGACUGCCGGUGACAAACCGGAGGAAGGUGGGGAUGACGUCAAGUCAUCAUGGCCCUUACGGCCUGGGCUACACACGUGCUACAAUGGUCGGUACAAAGGGUUGCCAAGCCGCGAGGUGGAGCUAAUCCCAUAAAACCGAUCGUAGUCCGGAUCGCAGUCUGCAACUCGACUGCGUGAAGUCGGAAUCGCUAGUAAUCGUGAAUCAGAAUGUCACGGUGAAUACGUUCCCGGGCCUU
RNAcentral lists this ribosomal RNA (355 nucleotides) under uncultured Pseudomonas sp. Its description in RNAcentral is "bacterial SSU rRNA". It matches the Rfam family "Bacterial small subunit ribosomal RNA", at positions 1028 to 1382 of the family's 1533-position model. The record is from RNAcentral. Lineage: Bacteria; Pseudomonadati; Pseudomonadota; Gammaproteobacteria; Pseudomonadales; Pseudomonadaceae.